Molecule: non-coding RNA, 1060 nt
Organism: Pelobates cultripes (western spadefoot toad)
Lineage: Eukaryota; Metazoa; Chordata; Amphibia; Anura; Pelobatidae
Source: the annotation of a GenBank genome assembly
GGACAUGUUUCAGUAUAGGCUGGUGUACAAUAUUAUUGCAGUAUUAAAAUGCAGUGAGGUUAGUCGUGGUUGCAAUAAAUUAAUUACAAAACUUAAAAAUAACGCAUCAAUAAAAGUAAACUACGGAGAUCGUAUCUAUUUGCAGAUGUUUGUAGUUAGGAGUGUGAACGUAUUGCAGUAAAAUAUGGCAUACGAUAAUAUUGCAGGAGAAUAUUGCAUGAAGGUUGGACGCAUUUGCAUAGAUGUGCUCAAUGAACUCAAAACUAACGAAAAAAUAAAAUAUGUAGGACUAUUAGUGGUAAAUUCAGGAACCAGCAUUAAUACUAGUUUAAAUACAUGAAAAUUAUGAACGCAUACCUUAUAGACCUUACUAAUAAUUGGUAUGGAAUUGUGUGGGAUUUGGUAUGUAAGAAAUCUCAUGGUUUCAACAGUGCCUCAGGCCCAUCUGCUAUCCAAAUUAUAUAAGCUUGGGAAGAAAUUCCUGUUGCAAAAGCUCAAUGCAGCGUAAUAAGUCAUAUAUGUAAAAUGCCAAGUUAGCCUUGGAAGCGUGUAUCAGUACAUGGUGUAUCGCUUAUGUAUGUCUGAUUGUAAAUUUUCCUUUGCUCUAUCCUUUUUCCUGUAUGUGUUUUCUAAAAAAGAAAGGGUGUAAUACUAAGAACUAAAUCAAUAUACAAGGUUACAGUUGUGAACAUUGUGCCUUAACGUGCGAGAAGAAGGAUACAGCGCAUGGGCAGCCCGCAUGUUAGUCGCCACCUGUGAGCCAAUGGUUGCUGGUAAUUUGUUGUGUGACAAAAGCAAUGUCAUUAACUAGGCUGUAUGAUCUACCCUAUUCUGCUGUUGGGGUUGUGGAUCCACAGCUUAGACUAUAUGUUAGGUUUGUAGCGUGCAUAUCUCCCGCUAGAGAUUCUGACAGUUAUAAUGCAAUAAAAUAAAAUGAAGGGAAAAAGAAAAAAAAAGGGUGGGAAUAGUGCCCCCAAAAGUGAGUAGGGGCCUGUGGAAUAGGGCCCAAAGUGAAGAUUGCUAGUUAGGUCUGCUUGUGAACUCCAGGGAUUUUGGUCCA